CCUACGGGAGGCUGCAGUAGGGAAUAUUGCUCAAUGGGGGAAACCCUGAAGCAGCAACGCCGCGUGGAGGAUGAAGGUUUUCGGAUUGUAAACUCCUUUUGUUAGAGAAGAUAAUGACGGUAUCUAACGAAUAAGCACCGGCUAACUCCGUGCCAGCAGCCGCGGUAAUACGGAGGGAGCAAGCGUUACUCGGAAUCACUGGGCGUAAAGAGCGCGUAGGCGGGAUAGCAAGUCAGAUGUGAAAUCCUAGGGCUUAACCAUAGAACUGCAUUUGAAACUGUUAUUCUAGAGUAUGGGAGAGGUAGGUGGAAUUCUUGGUGUAGGGGUAAAAUCCGUAGAGAUCAAGAGGAAUACUCAUUGCGAAGGCGACCUGCUAGAACAUAACUGACGCUGAUGCGCGAAAGCGUGGGGAGCAAACAGGAUUAGAUACCCUUGUAGUC
RNAcentral lists this ribosomal RNA (440 nucleotides) under uncultured bacterium. Its description in RNAcentral is "partial 16S ribosomal RNA". It matches the Rfam family "Bacterial small subunit ribosomal RNA", at positions 338 to 795 of the family's 1533-position model. The record is from RNAcentral.